GAUUCUCAAAAGCGUUCACCUCCUCGUGGUGAGAAUCGGGCAACUCUGAUGUUUACGAAUAAAUCAGAGGCAAAGAACGCGUGA
This is a non-coding RNA of Trichomalopsis sarcophagae, 84 nucleotides long. It matches the Rfam family "HDV ribozyme from F. prausnitzii". The record is from Rfam. Lineage: Eukaryota; Metazoa; Arthropoda; Insecta; Hymenoptera; Pteromalidae.